GUUUUGAACAGAUGAAGCAUUUAAAAGGAUUGAAGUUCUUAAUUUUUCAAAAAUUUAUAGGUGCAUUCAUGUAUAUCAGCAAAGGAAGUAAUGCUCUCUGCAUGGCAAUACAUAAUGGAAUCUGGAAAUGGACGAAGAAGCCAUAGAAGAAUUUGGAAAGCCUUUAAGUAUCAUGCCUCGCCAAACAGAGUUGCAAUAAACAUCCUUAUAGAUCAGCACCUUUACUUCCAUGGUGCAGAAUCACAGGAAUGAAACUGCUGAGGCAAACGGUAUGUAUGUCUUUUAUUUUAAAAAGUAUUGCCAGAUUGCUUUCUGAAAGUGCAUUCUACCAAUCAUGCAUGAGAAUAUCUUUUUCCCCCAAUUCCCACCUAUAGUAGGUAUAAUCUUCUUUCAAAAUGCUUCAAACAGAUACGUAAAAAGUUUUUUUUGUUGCAUUUCCCUGACUAGUAAAGAAAAUUAAAUAUCUCUUUGGUUUUGCCCAUAACCCUUUGUCCGUUUACUGUGGGUGUGUUUUGUCAUAUGGUUUUCAAUAUGCAAACUCUCAUUUUGUAUUCCAGAUAAUGGCACUUUGUCAUCUGUGUUGCAUAUAUUUUUUUCAACUAUUGAUUUUUACAUAUUACCACAUACAUUUUGUUGGUCUUAUUUUUACAUGCUGUGACUUAAUUUUCCUGGACUUUAUACAGCAAAAAAUGAGGGUCAAAUUGUAUUUUCUCGCAGGUGGAGAGCCAGUUUUACCAGCACCAAUUAUGAACUCUUCUUUUCCCAUGGAAUUAAAAUAUGGUGUCUUUUUUUCCCACUGCUGAUCAAUUUGAUCAAUUUCUAUGCUUAUACCUCCUUAUUUAGAUUAUGGUAGCUUUAUAGCUUGCUUUAUCAUCUGUUGUGCUUGAUUCCACUCACUAUUGUUGUUUUUUUAGUUUUAUUGACUAUUCUAAAUAUUUAUUAUUUAAAAUAGGUUUUAAAUCAUCUUAUCCAGUUUCCCCCCCAAUACCCUUUAGUUUUUAAUUGACAUUGUUCUGAAUUUACAUAUUAAUUUUGCGAGCACGGGUGUUUUUAGCAUUUUCUUUUUUAAAUUUUUUUAUUUUUUUUUGUCUUUUGUCCUCUUAGGGCCUCACCCAUGGCAUAUGGAGGUUCCCAGGCUAGGUGUCUAACUGGAGCUGUUGCCGCCAGCCUACGCCACAGCCACAGCAACACCAAAUCCAAGCCGCAUCUGCAACCUACACCACAGCUCACAGCAACACUGGAUCUUUCAGCCACUGAGCGAAGGGAUCGAACCCUCAACAUCAUGGUUCCUAGUCAGAUUUGUUUCCACUGAGCCACCACGGGAACUCCUGUUUUUAGCAUUUUAACUCUUCUCAUCUAAAAAUAUGGCAUAUUGACCCAUUUUUUUCAGAGUGUUUUAUGUCUUUACAUAACAAUUUAUGGUGUUUUUCACCAUACAAAUCUUCUAUCUUUUGAUUAGUUUAUUCCUAAGAAUUUCAUAGAUUUCAUCAGUAUAGUGAAGAUAAUAUAUUUUCUAAUUUUCAUUUCUAGAUAAAUGAAAUUCUGGUACAUGGAAAAAUUGUUGCUUUUUUCAUAUUUAUCUUACUUCAUCAAUUCUGAAACACACAUUUUAACAUCUCUGAAAAUGAGAUGUAUCCUAUAAUAAUGACAUCUUAAUUAUAAUGGGGAACUUUGUUCCUUCUUGGGAGUAUGUAAAGUAAUGGGAUAUCUUAAAGUCCCUGGCUUCCUAGAUUUUUUGAAAUAUCUUAUACCAAUCAAUUUACCACAUUUUCUUCUUACUUUUAUUUGAUAGUACUAGACUUUCUUAGAUUUCUAAAUAUAAAAACAUAUCUCCAAGAAGAUAUAAUUUUAUCUCUUUUUUUUUUCUAAAUUUAUGCCAAUUAUUUCAUUCUCUUGUUGAAGGUAAAUAUAGUUGUGUUGUUUUUAUGUUAUGGAAUAGUUAGCAUAAACAAUUUUUUAUUUCUUACUCUUGGCUCUUUAGAGGUUGUAAAAUUAUAGGUAAGUAAUUUCUUUUCCUAUUUCACAUAGAAUUUUUAUUGGCAAUGUCUGACAAAUAUUAAUGAAUGCCUUCUAAGCAUUUUAUCUUUGUUGGUAAAAUCACAUGAUUUUUCUCCUUCAAUAUAUCAAAUCAUGCUAGUAAUUUUCAUGAUUUUGAGCUAUUCAUGCAAGCUUGGGAUUAAUUCUGCUCAGUAGUAGUAUAUUAUAGUUUGUAUUUUUUGCUACAAUGCUGGCUUCAGUUUGAUUAUAUUUUCAUUUGAGUUUUUCUGCUGUUAGAUUUAUGAGAGGUUGUAUUGCAGUAUUUCGUCUGUAAUUAUCUUUAACAAGCAUUAAAAUUGAGCUGGUUUUACGAACAAUGGGAGGAUUUACAUCUUUUCCUAUGAUCUAAAAUAGUUUAAAUACUUGGAUGAUUUCUAAGGUUUUGAUUAAAUUUAGCCACAAAGGCACCUAGUCCUAUUAACUUUAAUGGCUUCUUUUUAUUCACCUUUCCAGUAUUUUCUAAAGCAUUUAGUGUACUAAAGUUGUCCUCCUUUGGAUCAAUGUUAGUGUUUCACAUUUGUUAUCACACCAAUUUCCUCUGAGUUAUCCAAUGUGUUACCACACAUUUUCUUGGGUAUUUUAGUCUAUUUCAUAUCUGUAGUUAAGACUCCUUUCUCCUUCGAACCUUAAAUUUUGCUCCUUCUCUUUUUUCUUUAACCAGGCUUAUGAGAGAUUUAUCUAUUUUAUUAAUCUUUUGGAAUAGCCAUGUUUAGUUAACCUUUCUAGCUUUUUAUUUUUCUAUUUCAUAAUUUUUUAUGUUCUAGUUAUUCAUAUAGUCUUGUUUAUAUUAUACCUAUUUUAAUUUCUUAGGAUGACUAAAGGUUCCUUCAUUUUUAAUCAUCCUCUAGUAAUAAUGCCACUAAAAACCAUAACUUUCAAAUUAGGAUAACUUCUGUGUUCCAUAAAUUUUGAGUUGAAGUGGGCUCAUUCUUGCUGCAUUGGAGAUAGUUUGUAAUUUCUGUUUUUGGUUUUGGUUUUUGGAUUUUUUUUGAUCCAAGAGGUAUUAAGGAAUGUUUCUUAAUGCCCAGAUUUACUGUAUAACUAUUAGGGAACAUGAAUUAUAAAAUCUACACUUUGCAUUUUAAGCUUUCUUUUUGGCCAGGCGCAUGAUCAAUCUUUGAAUAUAUUCCAGGGACACUUAAAAAACUAUAUGAUCUAUUUGAAGGAUUUAAGGUUGUGUAUUGAUCUAUUAAUAGAUCUUGAUAAUUAUGUUACUCAGUUCUUCUAUAUCUUUACUUUUUUAUUUUAUUUUAUUUUUUUGUUUGCUGUACAGUAGAAAAAAUAUAUAUAUAAAUAAAUGGUUAAAAAAUCAUUACUUUUGUUUUCUUAAUUUAAUUUUGAACAUAUACAUUGAAAUCUCCCACUUUUUUGCUUUAUUUAGCAGCGAUGCUGUUUUAUGUCUUCAGGUAAAAAAAAAAAAAAUGCAGCUGAUUGGAAUUAUAGUUUCUGCUUCUGGAGAUUUCAAAAGAGGCCCUGGUCGCUGUUUGACCACCAUCCAGGGUUUAUAUUCACCCACAGGAAGUAUUCUACUAAGCACUGCAAGCAAAACUAGCUUGACAAGAAUGUCCUUAUCUGUCCGAUUAUUUUAGUUACCUAAAAUCAGUGAAGAAUCAGUGUGUUUGAUGGUUAAGACUGUGUGGGCUCUUGAAUCAGACUGUCUGGUUUCCAAAAUCUGGUCUUGUCAUAUAAAUUACUUAACAUUUGUCACCUCUGUUUUCAUACCUGAAACAAAUAGAAGGUAGUGCAGUGUACCUCAUAGAGUUAUUGUGAUAAGCCAGUGAUGGACUCCUUGGGAAACGUGGAGUUAGGCACUUAGUAUACACUCAGUAAAAACAUACACUCAAUAUAAAAAGUAUUUGUUAUAUUGUAGUAAGUUCUUAAAGCUUUCCUAAGACCAUGUGUGUAAAUAGGCCUUAAAAAGACCAAAAUCAGCAGCAGUAUUAUUAAAGCAUACAAGAACAAUGCAAAUGCUUCUAAAAUACAAUUAUGUUACAUAUAAUUAUAAGUAAAAUUAUAUACGAUAAAACAAUACUAAAAAUUUAGUGCAAGUCUUUUGAGGACAGGGCUGUGCUCCAUCCCACAGCAAUAGAUCCAUAGUUCCAAGAACAGAGCUGGGCAUGCUGUAGAAUAAAGCAAAAUACUUUUUCGAUUUUUUUAUGAUUAAGUACUGCUCUCAGUAAAUUUUUGCUAAACUAAACAGAAUCAACAUUCUAACUUAUAAUCUCAUGUCUCUCAGCUGCAAAGUGUAUACCUCUGCAGUGUCUUCUAAAAACCCUUUAAAAAAAUCACUGAUGUAGUAUCAGUCAAGAUUCAUCAUUCAC
This 4358-nucleotide long non-coding RNA is filed under the name Sus scrofa (pig). Its description in RNAcentral is "lncRNA (ENSSSCG00040007230.1)". Lineage: Eukaryota; Metazoa; Chordata; Mammalia; Artiodactyla; Suidae. The record is from RNAcentral.